GCCUCGAUGGCGUAGUGGUCAUCACACCGGGGAGAUGUAGGGUUCGAUUCCCACUCGGGACA
This 62-nucleotide transfer RNA is filed under the name Desmophyllum pertusum. RNAcentral describes it as "tRNA-Ser". Lineage: Eukaryota; Metazoa; Cnidaria; Anthozoa; Scleractinia; Caryophylliidae. The record is from RNAcentral.